This is a small nucleolar RNA of Malania oleifera, 106 nucleotides long. Lineage: Eukaryota; Viridiplantae; Streptophyta; Magnoliopsida; Santalales; Ximeniaceae. The record is from RefSeq and is a predicted model, not a curated record.
AAUCCAUGAUGUGGGCAUAUAUUCAUCAUAUCAUUGAACCUCUCCCAACAAACUUGGAAAGUCUCAUCACCUUUCUACAUGAACUAAUUGAUCUACUCUUGCAGGU